AGAACAAGGAGAAAAGAGGUCAGACUCGCUGGCCUGCGUUACAGGACGUCAAAAUCCGAUAUACCACCCGAAACCACACUACCUCUUGAAUGAGGGGAUGGUCUUCACUCUCUGCAUAAUGAUCGACAAGCUUUAUGACAUUGUAACAGAAGAUAACAAAAAAUAAAAUAAAAAAAUAUAAAUAAAAGAAAAAUAUGAAGAGGGAGCAAGGAGAACAAGUUUCAGGUAGGUAGGUGAGAUGAAGACAAAGGAAAGAACAACUGAAGGAAUAGCUGACAAUUUAUUACGAUUCUUCUGCUGUACACAGUAAACAUGAGAAGUAUUCUACUCUUUCCAUAGCGAGUUCUAUGCUAUCGAAUGUUCGCACUCUCUGCAUAAUGACCGACAAGCUUUGUGACAACGUUACUGCCUAACACACAAGUUAAGGAAAAGAAAAAAAAAAAAGGCAUGAAGUGGGAGCAAGAAGAAAAAGUUUCAAGAAUGUAGAUGAGAUGAAGAACAGACGAAAGAAAGAGCAACUGAAGGUAUAGGUGACAAUUUAUUACGAUUUUUCUUGUGCAGAACGUAGUAAACAUGAGAAGUAUUAUACUCAUUCCAUUGUGAGAUCUAUGUUUUCGAAUUUUCAAUUACUACCUUUGCAGUGCACAUUUGUGGUGAUUUAAUAGUCCUCUCAAGCUAAACAGUAAAAAUACUUAUAUAGGCUUAGAAUCAGCUUAAAAGUUAAGCAGAAAAGUAAAAAUGAAUGAAUUCAGCACUGAAGUUGUGGCUGAUCACCCAAAGAACAGCCAUGUUCAAAAGAACAAAUUUAGUGAUGUCAGACAUGAGACCCUCAUUGGAAAUCAGUUUUUUGGGGGGCAUCAUAGCAAAGAAGCAUAAACAGUGGUCAGAUGCGAAAGAUGUAUGUUCAAAUAAAGUCUGAAACGAAUAGCUAAAAUUAAACAGAAGGUGAAGAGUCUUCUGGCAAAAAUCUACUACAAAAACCAAUAACUUGGUACUACAUUUGCUAAGUCACGGAAUAAUAAUAAAUUUGAUAAUGAACGGCGCAGUAUUGGGUACUGAUUGUAAUGGGUAAUAAAGACUGUAAAGAUAAACGUAUGUAGAAGAUACGAAUAGGAGGCAGGGUUAUAAAAUUGUACCGACGUAGUAGAACAAAUAAUGACUAUAAGAACAAGAUUGCCUUAAGCUCGCGAAGACUGUAGAAGCUCUUCAGUGCUGACUGGUCUCGACGAACAAGAACGGUACAUGGUACAAUAAAUUAUAGUGAAACUUCUCUGCGUAUCAAUUACGAAAUUGCACAGCGAGAGACUGGUCCGAGUAUACCUGCCAGUCUUAUUUAGUCAUAGUUCAGUCUUGUUUACUCAGAACGACCUAA
Molecule: long non-coding RNA, 1372 nt
Organism: Schistocerca gregaria
Lineage: Eukaryota; Metazoa; Arthropoda; Insecta; Orthoptera; Acrididae
Exons: 2
Source: RefSeq, a predicted model, not a curated record